CACUAUCGUUAACUGAAUACAUAGGUUAACGAGGCGAACCGGGGGAACUGAAACAUCUAAGUACCCCGAGGAAAAGAAAUCAACCGAGAUUCCCCCAGUAGCGGCGAGCGAACGGGGAGCAGCCCAGAGUCUGAAUCAGCUUGUGUGUUAGUGGAACGGUCUGGAAAGUCCGACGGUACAGGGUGAUAGUCCCGUACACCAAAAUGCACAGGCUGUGAACUCGAAGAGUAGGGCGGGACACGUGGUAUCCUGUCUGAAUAUGGGGGGACCAUCCUCCAAGGCUAAAUACUCCUGACUGACCGAUAGUGAACCAGUACCGUGAGGGAAAGGCGAAAAGAACCCCGGCGAGGGGAGUGAAAAAGAACCUGAAACCGUGUACGUACAAGCAGUGGGAGCACCUUCGGGUGUGACUGCGUACCUUUUGUAUAAUGGGUCAGCGACUUAUAUUCUGUAGCAAGGUUAACCGUAUAGGGGAGCCGCAGGGAAACCGAGUCUUAACUGGGCGUUAAGUUGCAGGGUAUAGACCCGAAACCCGGUGAUCUAGCCAUGGGCAGGUUGAAGGUUGGGUAACACUAACUGGAGGACCGAACCGACUAAUGUUGAAAAAUUAGCGGAUGACUUGUGGCUGGGGGUGAAAGGCCAAUCAAACCGGGAGAUAGCUGGUUCUCCCCGAAAGCUAUUUAGGUAGCGCCUCGUGAAUUCAUCUUCGGGGGUAGAGCACUGUUUCGGCUAGGGGGUCAUCCCGACUUACCAACCCGAUGCAAACUACGAAUACCGAAGAAUGUUAUCACGGGAGACACACGGCGGGUGCUAACGUCCGUCGUGAAGAGGGAAACAACCCAGACCGCCAGCUAAGGUCCCAAAGUCAUGGUUAAGUGGGAAACGAUGUGGGAAGGCACAGACAGCCAGGAUGUUGGCUUAGAAGCAGCCAUCAUUUAAAGAAAGCGUAAUAGCUCACUGGUCGAGUCGGCCUGCGCGGAAGAUGUAACGGGGCUAAACCAUGCACCGAAGCUGCGGCAGCGACACUAUGUGUUGUUGGGUAGGGGAGCGUUCUGUAAGCCUGCGAAGGUGACCUGUGAGGGUUGCUGGAGGUAUCAGAAGUGCGAAUGCUGACAUAAGUAACGAUAAAGCGGGUGAAAAGCCCGCUCGCCGGAAGACCAAGGGUUCCUGUCCAACGUUAAUCGGGGCAGGGUGAGUCGACCCCUAAGGCGAGGCCGAAAGGCGUAGUCGAUGGGAAACAGGUUAAUAUUCCUGUACUUGGUGUUACUGCGAAGGGGGGACGGAGAAGGCUAUGUUAGCCGGGCGACGGUUGUCCCGGUUUAAGCAUGUAGGCUGAUUGUCCAGGCAAAUCCGGAUAAUCAAGGCUGAGGUGUGAUGACGAGGCACUACGGUGCUGAAGUAACAAAUGCCCUGCUUCCAGGAAAAGCCUCUAAGCAUCAGGUAACAUUAAAUCGUACCCCAAACCGACACAGGUGGUCAGGUAGAGAAUACCAAGGCGCUUGAGAGAACUCGGGUGAAGGAACUAGGCAAAAUGGUGCCGUAACUUCGGGAGAAGGCACGCUGGUGUGUAGGUGAAGUCCCUGCGGAUGGAGCUGAGACCAGUCGAAGAUACCAGCUGGCUGCAACUGUUUAUUAAAAACACAGCACUGUGCAAACACGAAAGUGGACGUAUACGGUGUGACGCCUGCCCGGUGCCGGAAGGUUAAUUGAUGGGGUUAUCCGUAAGGAGAAGCUCUUGAUCGAAGCCCCGGUAAACGGCGGCCGUAACUAUAACGGUCCUAAGGUAGCGAAAUUCCUUGUCGGGUAAGUUCCGACCUGCACGAAUGGCGUAAUGAUGGCCAGGCUGUCUCCACCCGAGACUCAGUGAAAUUGAACUCGCUGUGAAGAUGCAGUGUACCCGCGGCAAGACGGAAAGACCCCGUGAACCUUUACUAUAGCUUGACACUGAACAUUGAGCCUUGAUGUGUAGGAUAGGUGGGAGGCUUUGAAGCGUGGACGCCAGUCUGCGUGGAGCCAACCUUGAAAUACCACCCUUUAAUGUUUGAUGUUCUAACGUUGGCCCCUUACCGGGGUUGCGGACAGUGUCUGGUGGGUAGUUUGACUGGGGCGGUCUCCUCCCAAAGCGUAACGGAGGAGCACGAAGGUUAGCUAAUCCUGGUCGGACAUCAGGAGGUUAGUGCAAUGGCAUAAGCUAGCUUGACUGCGAGCGUGACGGCGCGAGCAGGUGCGAAAGCAGGUCAUAGUGAUCCGGUGGUUCUGAAUGGAAGGGCCAUCGCUCAACGGAUAAAAGGUACUCCGGGGAUAACAGGCUGAUACCGCCCAAGAGUUCAUAUCGACGGCGGUGUUUGGCACCUCGAUGUCGGCUCAUCACAUCCUGGGGCUGAAGUAGGUCCCAAGGGUAUGGCUGUUCGCCAUUUAAAGUGGUACGCGAGCUGGGUUUAGAACGUCGUGAGACAGUUCGGUCCCUAUCUGCCGUGGGCGCUGGAGAAUUGAGGGGGGCUGCUCCUAGUACGAGAGGACCGGAGUGGACGCAUCACUGGUGUUCGGGUUGUCAUGCCAAUGGCACUGCCCGGUAGCUAAAUGCGGAAGAGAUAAGUGCUGAAAGCAUCUAAGCACGAAACUUGCCCCGAGAUGAGUUCUCCCUGAGACUUUAAGUCUCCUGAAGGAACGUU
RNAcentral lists this ribosomal RNA (2672 nucleotides) under Klebsiella pneumoniae. RNAcentral describes it as "partial 23S ribosomal RNA". It matches the Rfam family "Bacterial large subunit ribosomal RNA". The record is from RNAcentral. Lineage: Bacteria; Pseudomonadati; Pseudomonadota; Gammaproteobacteria; Enterobacterales; Enterobacteriaceae.